RNAcentral lists this ribosomal RNA (410 nucleotides) under uncultured archaeon. RNAcentral describes it as "bacterial SSU rRNA". It matches the Rfam family "Archaeal small subunit ribosomal RNA", at positions 450 to 859 of the family's 1478-position model. The record is from RNAcentral.
GACCGGUGCCAGCCGCCGCGGUAACACCGGCGGCCCGAGUGGUGAUCGUGAUUAUUGGGUCUAAAGGGUCCGUAGCCGGUUUGGUCAGUCCUCCGGGAAAUCUGAUGGCUCAACCAUUAGGCUUUCGGGGGAUACUGCCAGGCUUGGAACCGGGAGAGGUAAGAGGUACUACAGGGGUAGGAGUGAAAUCUUGUAAUCCCUGUGAGACCACCUGUGGCGAAGGCGUCUUACCAGAACGGGUUCGACGGUGAGGGACGAAAGCUGGGGGCACGAACCGGAUUAGAUACCCGGGUAGUCCCAGCCGUAAACGAUGCUCGCUAGGUGUCAGGCAUGGCGCGACCGUGUCUGGUGCCGCAGGGWWKCCGUGAAGCGAGCCACCUGGGAAGUACGGCCGCAAGGCUGAAACUUAA